Molecule: long non-coding RNA, 217 nt
Filed under: Bos taurus (domestic cattle)
Lineage: Eukaryota; Metazoa; Chordata; Mammalia; Artiodactyla; Bovidae
Description: long non-coding RNA NONBTAT026964
Source: RNAcentral
GUUUUAUAUGUGUGCUAUCUUACUUUAAAGAAAAUAACAAUGUCUUAUUUUCCUCAUUGUUGUCUUUUGCUGAAAAAGACUGAGACAGGGUACCCCUAUCAGGCUUUUACACUCCCGUGGUGGUUCUCUUUAAUUGCUUAGAUAUGACUUCUUUUGAGCUUUAAGAAUAGUUGUUAUUGCUUGGGUUCUGAAUGUAUGAGAAAACUCUUCUGUUUAU